CGGACGGGUGAGUAAUGCGUGGGGAACCUGCCCUGUACAGGGGGAUAACACUUAGAAAUAGGUGCUAAUACCGCAUAAGCGCACAGUAUCGCAUGAUACAGUGUGAAAAACUCCGGUGGUACAGGAUGGACCCGCGUCUGAUUAGCUGGUUGGCGGGGUAACGGCCCACCAAGGCGACGAUCAGUAGCCGGCCUGAGAGGGUGAACGGCCACAUUGGGACUGAGACACGGCCCAAACUCCUACGGGAGGCAGCAG
Molecule: ribosomal RNA, 255 nt
Filed under: uncultured bacterium
Lineage: Bacteria
Description: partial 16S ribosomal RNA
Rfam family: Bacterial small subunit ribosomal RNA
Source: RNAcentral